CGUGGAAACGACCACAUAUAAAUAUACGACCUGUUUUGGUCGUCGCUAUUUUACACACUUUUCGAGACCGCGGAAGCGUACCGCUUUUAUCGAGUGGUAUAGCUCUUCGUAUCUCGCGUACAACUCAGUUUGACUCACGAUCACAUCUCCUAGCUGAGCUAACGUCUUUGCUUGAAUACUUUAAGAACAGAAAAUCAGCAAUAUCAUCAAAAUGGAUCCAGUUAUUAUUAUUGUUAUUGUUAUUUCGAUACUUAUAGUGCUUGGAAUAAUAAUCGGAUGCGUCUACUGUUGCUGUUGUAGGCAACGGAAAACUAACACAAAAGGACGCAGGAGGAAUGCUGGUAACGUAAAGGGGGUAAAACGAGGUCGGACUUCAAACACCCUUGACCUACGGGUGCGAAGCGCAGCAUGAACAAGUUUCUCAAGAAUAAGAAAAAAGAGCAAGGGCGGAGUAAUGGCAGCAAGACACUUACAAUCAUACCAGGGAAAGGUAACCACAGCCCCGAUGGACGUGCCAUUCUGAAUCCGGCUGUGCAGAAACACCUAAGAAAAAACGGCUACAAAUGUCGCAAGGAUCCCCAAAACGACGGCCGUGUCUUGGUUGAUCUGGAUUACUCUAAUAUAGUUUAAGAAGGCUCAGCACCAUAACCAUACCUGUGUAUAUCCUGUAGGCCAAGCGUCAAAUCAAAUUUCUGGGAACGAUGAGAUGCAAUCAACCAAGCCACCGAACCUGACGCCUCAGUUACAUGUUUCCAAUUAUUUGUUUUGUACCUAUCGUCUUGUAAAAUUUACGUUAAAAUAAAUAUUUUCGUUUU
Haliotis rufescens (red abalone) is the source of this 815-nucleotide long non-coding RNA. RefSeq lists it as uncharacterized. The transcript is spliced from 5 exons. The record is from RefSeq and is a predicted model, not a curated record. NCBI's taxonomy places the organism in Eukaryota, Metazoa, Mollusca, Gastropoda, Lepetellida, Haliotidae.